RNAcentral lists this long non-coding RNA (1405 nucleotides) under Anser brachyrhynchus (Pink-footed goose). RNAcentral's name for it is "lncRNA (ENSABRG00000006806.1)". The record is from RNAcentral. Lineage: Eukaryota; Metazoa; Chordata; Aves; Anseriformes; Anatidae.
AAAAAGAAAAAAUCCCGGAGCACGGCGACGAGCCCCUGGCAGCGCUCCCCGCAGCGCCGGGUGGCCGCGGGGGGGUCCCGGGCGCUCCGCAGCCGCGGCUCGGGGGGCGCCCGGCCCCGCGCAAGCUCCGCGCCCUGCGGCCCCCCCCGUUCCCUCCAGCCCCCCCCCCGCCACUCCCCCCGACCCGGCGCUUCGCCCCGCUCUCCCCCGCCGUCGGGGCUGCCGCGAGGAGCGCGGGGAAGAAGUUUGCCAAAGUUUCGGGUUUUUUCUUUUUUUUUUUUCCUCUCCCCGCUCCUUGCGCCUCGCCGCGGGGGCGGCGGGCAGGGGAGCGGGGCGGGCGGCCGGCAGCUCGCCGGUUGCAGGUGUGUGAAGGCGCCCGUCGGGAGGCUCCGCAGGCUGCAGCGCCGCACGGAGCCCCCCUCGGCCCGCACCCCCGGACCCCCCCACGCCCCGUCCCCCCGCCCUCUCUGCCGGGUGGGCUCCGUAGAGCACCGCGGCGGUGCCCCCGGCGCGGCCCCGUCCCCCGUCCACCCCGUCCACCCCCCCCGUGCCCGUGGAGCGCCGCCGAAGGAGCGGGAGCGACUCACUCAUGGGAGCGCGGCGGGCGAGGCCGGCGACACCUCCGGCUUCCGAGGCGCCGGCGAAGUUAAUUGCACUGAAGUUCAAGUUGUCUUUUCACCCAUCAGGAGUGGGCGUUUAAAGGAAGGAGAGCGAGGAGGAGGAGGGGGAGGGGGAGGGGGGAGAGUCGCUCUCGCUCUCGCUCGCUCUCGCACACACACACACACGCACGCACACACACACGGAGGCACAGACACACAGCCACACGCACAGACACACGGACACACGCACACAGCCACACGCGCGCACCCGCCCGCUCGGCUCCGCUCCCGAGCUGCCUCAGCAAGGAGGAGCCCGGACGGAAACCACCAGGGCAGCAAGCUACAAAUUUUCCAUCUGAAGAAUACACAGAGGAGGACACAUCCCCUGUUACCAAAGAAUGGAAAAAAACCCUGUGUCAAUGAAAGGCUCAUCAGGCUGUUAUUGGCUGCCAAAACAAAUAUUUUGGACUGAGAAAAACUGCACUUCAAACUAAUGAGGAUCCAGGUGACAGGCGUUUUAUUUAACUCAAUGCCAUAACUUCAUCUAUAAGGAAAAAUGGCCUAACAUAGCCAUUCGAGGAAAAAAAAAUCCAGAUAGUCUAGCAUCCUAUUCAUAUUCUGGGAUAAAAACAAAAACAAAAACCAACAAAACUGACAAAAUCCAAACAAACAGACAAAACUCUUACAUAGAUGUAUACACUUUGUCUUGGAAUUAGCUUGAUUUUUAUUCUAGAAUAAUUAUUCCACUCACAAUGCAGAGUAAUUAUUCCCGAAUAAAGUCCUUUUUUUUUUUUUUUUUUAUUACA